Molecule: transfer RNA, 89 nt
Filed under: Microbacterium thalassium
Lineage: Bacteria; Bacillati; Actinomycetota; Actinomycetes; Micrococcales; Microbacteriaceae
Description: tRNA-Gln
Source: RNAcentral
CCGGAGUUGCCGGGGUUGAUGGCGGCGUCGGUCUGGAUGACGGCGAUCUUGAUGGUCUCGCUCGUGCCGGUGCCGCCGGUGCCCUGGCC